This 411-nucleotide ribosomal RNA is filed under the name uncultured Butyricicoccus sp. RNAcentral's name for it is "bacterial SSU rRNA". It matches the Rfam family "Bacterial small subunit ribosomal RNA", at positions 355 to 781 of the family's 1533-position model. The record is from RNAcentral. Lineage: Bacteria; Bacillati; Bacillota; Clostridia; Eubacteriales; Butyricicoccaceae.
UGGGGAAUAUUGGGCAAUGGGGCGCAAGCCUGACCCAGCAACGCCGCGUGAAGGAAGAAGGCUUUCGGGUUGUAAACUUCUUUUGUCAGGGACGAGCAGAAGACGGUACCUGACGAAUAAGCACGGCUAACUACGUGCCAGCAGCCGCGGUAAUACGUAGGGAGCAAGCGUUAUCCGGAUUUACUGGGUGUAAAGGGCGAGUAGGCGGAUUGGCAAGUUGGGAGUGAAAUGUCGGGGCUUAACCCCGGAACUGCUUCCAAAACUGUUGAUCUUGAGUGAUGGAGAGGCAGGCGGAAUUCCCAGUGUAGCGGUGAAAUGCGUAGAUAUUGGGAGGGACACCAGUGGCGAAGGCGGCCUGCUGGACAUUAACUGACGCUGAGGAGCGAAAGCGCGGGGAGCAAACAGGAUUAG